GGACCCCACAAUUUAUAAAAUCUAUUUCAUGUGGAUUCUUUGCUAACCUUUUGUGACUUUCAUCUGUAUCUGGAUUGGAUUGUCAUGCAUUGUUUUUGUCCCUGGCAUUUCAUUUUUCACUCUACACAUAUACAUGAUGUACUGAUCUAAUAGAUUUUGUCUGUGCAUUAUUAUCUUCUAGAUGAAACUGUCAGUGAUGUUUGGAUAUAUAAUAAGUAUUCGCAUUCAGUGAGCUAUAUGUACCAUUGUCUUGUUUGUAUGAUUAGGAAUUGACUAGUUCAGUUGUACGAGUACUUCUGAAUUAGAGUUUAAUAGAUGAACAUAUACCUGGAAUUUUGUUUUUUCUUUCCUACAAUAAAAACCAAAAGAUUGAUCUUGGUAUUUCUUUUCCCAUACAAAUCUGACUGAUUGGUUAAGCUAAUGAGAACGUUAUCUGUGCAGCUUCUUGAUCUCAAGGAUAGUA
RNAcentral lists this unclassified non-coding RNA (463 nucleotides) under Hevea brasiliensis (rubber tree). Lineage: Eukaryota; Viridiplantae; Streptophyta; Magnoliopsida; Malpighiales; Euphorbiaceae. The record is from RNAcentral.